This 443-nucleotide ribosomal RNA is filed under the name uncultured bacterium. RNAcentral's name for it is "bacterial SSU rRNA". It matches the Rfam family "Bacterial small subunit ribosomal RNA", at positions 335 to 769 of the family's 1533-position model. The record is from RNAcentral.
ACUCCUACGGGAGGCAGCAGUGGGGAAUAUUGCACAAUGGGCGCAAGCCUGAUGCAGCCAUGCCGCGUGUGUGAAGAAGGCCUUCGGGUUGUAAAGCACUUUCAGUCGUGAGGAAGGUAGUGUAGUUAAUAGCUGCAUUAUUUGUACGUUAGCGACAGAAGAAGCACCGGCUAACUCCGUGCCAGCAGCCGCGGUAAGUACGGAGGGUGCGAGCGUUAAUCGGAAUUACUGGGCGUAAAGCGCAUGCAGGUGGUUUGUUAAGUCAGAUGUGAAAGCCCGGGGCUCAACCUCGGAAUAGCAUUUGAAACUGGCAGACUAGAGUACUGUAGAGGGGGUUAGAAUUUCAGGUGUAGCGGUGAAAUGCGUAGAGAUCUGAAGGUAAUACCGGUGGCGAAGGCGGCCCCUGGACAGAUACUGACACUCAGAUGCGAAAGCGUGGGAGC